UGGGGAAUCUUGCGCAAUGGUCUAACGACUGACGCAGCGACGCCGCGUGUGGGAGGACGCCUUUCGGGGUGUAAACCACUGUUGCCCGGGACGAACUGCGCGAUUUCUCGCGCGUGACGGUACCGGGUGAGGAAGCACCGGCUAACUCCGUGCCAGCAGCCGCGGUAAUACGGAGGGUGCGAGCGUUGUCCGGAAUCAUUGGGCGUAAAGGGCGCGUAGGUGGCCCGGUCAGUCCGUGGUGAAAGCGCGGGGCUCAACCCUGCGUCGGCCAUGGAUACUGCCGCGGCUGGAGCACUGUAGAGGCAGGCGGAAUUCCGGGUGUAGCGGUGGAAUGCGUAGAGAUCCGGAAGAACACCGGUGGCGAAGGCGGCCUGCUGGGCAGUAGGGGGCAACCCCUUUCAAGCUGACACUGAGGCGCGACAGCGUGGGGAGCAAACAGG
This 440-nucleotide ribosomal RNA is filed under the name uncultured bacterium. RNAcentral's name for it is "bacterial SSU rRNA". It matches the Rfam family "Bacterial small subunit ribosomal RNA", at positions 355 to 776 of the family's 1533-position model. The record is from RNAcentral.